This 708-nucleotide ribosomal RNA is filed under the name Triticum aestivum (bread wheat). Its description in RNAcentral is "partial small subunit ribosomal RNA". The record is from RNAcentral. Lineage: Eukaryota; Viridiplantae; Streptophyta; Magnoliopsida; Poales; Poaceae.
AUGGCUGGGGGGAAGGGAGAGGAAGUGAAGCUGUUGGGGGCGUGGGCUAGCCCGUACGUGGCCAGGGUGAAGCUAGCGCUCCACCUCAAGGGCGUGAGCUACAAGUACAUGGAGGAGGACCUCACCAACAAGAGCGAGCUGCUCCUCCGCUCCAACCCCGUCCACACGAUGGUUCCCGUGCUCAUCCACGGCGGCAAACCCAUCUGUGAGUCCCAGGUCAUCGUCCAGUACAUCGACGAGGCCUUCCAUGCCGCGGCCAAGGCCCUCCUUCCCGCCGACCCUUACGAGCGCGCCGUUGCCCGCUUCUGGGCCGCCUACAUCGACGACAAGGUGUUGGGGCCAUGGGAAAUGGUCUUGAAGGCGAAGACGGGCAAGGAGAGGGCGGUCUGGGCGAGGCGGACGUUUGAAGCGGUGGAUGUGCUGGAGGAAGGCCUCGUGAAGUGCUGCAAGGGCAAGGGGUUGUUUGGCGGGGACGACAUCGGCUACCUCGAUGUCCUGCUCGGGGGCAUGGUCCCGUGGCUGUACGCGACCGAGAAGAUCUCUGGUCACAACUUCUUCGACGCCAGCAAGGUCCCGCUGCUGGCGUCAUGGAUGGAGCGUUUUACCCAUCUUGACGCUGCCAAGGCGGUGUUCCAGGAGCAGGACGUCGACAUCCUGGUUGAAUUCGCUCGGUCGGUACUCUUGACCGGUGCUGCAACCAGCUCAUAA